This 253-nucleotide ribosomal RNA is filed under the name uncultured archaeon. Its description in RNAcentral is "partial 16S ribosomal RNA". It matches the Rfam family "Archaeal small subunit ribosomal RNA", at positions 474 to 727 of the family's 1478-position model. The record is from RNAcentral.
AACCAGCACCUCAAGUGGUCAGGAGGAUUAUUGGGCCUAAAGCAUCCGUAGCCGGCUCUGUAAGUUUUCGGUUAAAUCCAUGUGCUCAACGCAUGGGCCGCCGAAAAUACUGCACAGCUAGGGAGUGGGAGAGGUAGACGGUACUCAGUAGGAAGGGGUAAAAUCCUUUGAUCUAUUGAUGACCACCUGUGGCGAAGGCGGUCUACCAGAACACGUUCGACGGUGAGGGAUGAAAGCUGGGGGAGCAAACCGG